UUGCAACAAGUUCCUAUCGUCCACUGUGUUGUUGUUGUUUUCAGCAGAGCACCAGCAUUGAUAUCGAGUUGGCCCAGCAACCGCACUAGUCCCGCCUGCAGGAGCCCCAGUCCAGAACGACCUUUCCCCUCCCUUGACUUCUAAAUCCUCCCUCUUGACCGCCUGCCUCAAAAAGUCAGCAUCUUUGAACAACUCCGUUCUGCAGGAAAUUCUGAGCAUGAUUCUGUUCUGAACAAACGCAAUGCCCACGUCACGUUUUCCAUACAUAAGCCUGGGUAGUUUUGUUAAGCUAGAGUUCCGCGUGGGCCUGAAAGGGACAAGUGUUACAGACACAAACAGUUAUAGCAGUAGUUAUGGUAACGCUAACAGUCAGUUGUUGCUGUUGGACAUCACAACAAAUAUCAUGAAGAAUAAGAAAUUCAAUAAGUUGUUCCAAUCUUUAUGGGACAUACAGAAAUUGAACGGAAGAAAAUCAAGGAACAAUAAAAGCGUAAGCUUUCCUAGUGGGAUACAUCUGCUGUUAAUAGUUUGAACAACAGUAGGGUUACUGACUGCCCCAGAUUGUCCUCUCAGCGGCCUGAAUAUCAUAAUAGAACGGACUUUUGGCAAUAUUUCUGACAAAGAAAGGCAAUAAUGACUUGGUUGUGAAUACCCAGAGCAUGAUACAUCCAUGCUGACAAAGAAAGGCGGUAAUGACUUGGUUGUGAACACACAGAGCGCGAUACAUCCAUGCUGACACAGUAAGGCAGAAAUGACUUGGUUGUGAACACCCAGAGCACAAUACAUCCGUGCUGAUACAGAAAGGCAGUAAUGACUUGGCUGUGAACACAGAACACGAUACACCCGUGCUGACACAGAAAGGCAGUUAUGACUUGGCUGUGAAAACAGAGCACAAUACAUCCAUGCUGAAACAGAAUGGCAGUCAUGACUAUGCUGUGAACACCCAGAGCACGAUAUAUCCUUGCUGACACAGAAAGGCAGUAAUGACUAUGCUGUGAAAACCCACAGAAAGAUACAUCCAUGCUAACACAGAAAGGCAGUAAUGACUAUGCAGUGAACACCCAGAGCAAGAUAUAUCCAUGCUGACACAGAAAGGCAGUAAUGACUAUGCUGUGAAAACCCACAGAAAGAUACAUCCAUGCUGACACAGAAAGGCAGUAAUGACUUGGUUUUGAACAACCAGAGCAAGAUAUAUCCAUGCUGACACAGAAAGGCAGUAAUGACUUGGCUGUGAACACAGAACACGAUACACCAAUGCUGACACAGAAAAGGCAGUAAUGACUUGGCAGUGAACACAGAACACGAUACACCCAUGCUGACACAGAAAGGCAGUAAUGACUUUGCUGUGAACACAGAGCACACUACAUCCAUGCUGACACAGAAAGGCAGUAAUGACUUGGCUGUGAGAACAGAACACCAUGCAUCCAUGCUGAUACAGAAAGGCAGUAAUGACUUGGCUGUGAACACAGAGCACAAUACAUCCAUGCUGACACAGAAAGGCAGUUAUGACUUGGUUGUAAACACAGAGCACAAUACAUCCUUGUUGACACAGAAAGGCAGUAAUGACUUGGCUGUGAACACAGAGCACAAUACAUCCAUGCUGACACAGAAAGGCAGUUAUGACUUGGUUGUGAACACAGAGCACAAUACAUCCUUGUUGACACAGAAAGGCAGUUAUGACUUUGCUGUGAACUCAGAGCACGAUACAUUCAUGCUGACACAGAAAGGCAGUAAUGACUUUGCUGUAAACUCAGAGCACGAUACAUCCAUGCUGACACAUAAAGGCAGUAAUGACUUGGAUGUAAACACCCAGAGCACAAUACAUCCAUGCUGACACAGAAAAGCAGUAAUGACUGCUGUGAACACCCAGAGCACAAUACAUCCAUGCUGAAACAGAAAGGCAGUCAUGACUAUGCAGUGAACACCCAGAGCAAGAUAUAUCCAUGCUGACACAGAAAGGAAGUGAUGACUAUGAUGUGAACACCCAGAGCAAGAUAUAUCCAUGCUGACACAGAAAGGCAGUAAUGAUUAUGCUGUGAACACCCAGAGCACAAUACAUCCAUGCUGACACAGAAAGGCAGUAAUGACUUGGUUGUGAACUCAGAGCACGAUACACCCAUGCUGAAACAGAAAGGCAGUAAUGAAUUUGCUGUGAACUCAGAGCACAAUACAUCCAUGCUGAAACAGAAAGGCAGUAAUGACUUGGAUGUAAACACCCAGAGCACAAUACAUCCAUGAUUACACAGGAAGGCAGUUAAGACUUGGUUGUAAACACCCAGAGCACAAUACAUCCAUGCUGACACAGAAAGGCAGUAAAGACUUUGUUGUAAACACUAAGAUAUCCAUACAUCCAUGGGGUGGGCCACAGACGCAAAUUACGCCCACCAUUUUGAACAAGGUGCUUAAAGUGAACACGUCUGGUUUUGUUAUGAGCACUUAGCACUCCGAGUCCAAAAGGCCUCGCAUUGAAUUGAUGCAAGAGAAGGCUUUAAAAAAUAACAGCAGUUUUGUUGUGUGGUCCAGUAGGCCCUUGGACUCGCAACCUGAAGAAAGCAGAACUCAAACUCGUCUCUUAGCAAUAUCAGCAAGGCCAGCAUGUCAUCUCAGCUUCUAGAGCUUCAGGUGAGACCUUACAGUGUUAAUUAUUUUGUUGAAAUUGGGGCCAAAAUUCAGCCCCAUUCUUAUCUCAAAAAGUCUAUAUUUAUGAUAACUGGCUUAAGUUCUCAAUUCAUGGUUUCCCAGAAGAAAAAGAAUGUUUUGAUAGGUUGCAACAUUGAGUUAAUCAGAACUCAAAUUCAGCCUUUGGCAAUAUUAGCGAGGCCAGCAUAUCAGCUCAGCUUCUUGAGCUUCAGGUGAGAUCAUACAGUGUUAUUCAUUUUGUCGAAAUUUGGGUCCAAAAUUGAGUCCCAUUCCUAAUCUUAAACAGUUUAUUGUUUCCAUAAUUACUGGCUAAAGUUCUCAAUUCAAGGUUUGACCCCAAACAAUGUUUAAAUAGGUACAAAUUGAGUUUGGUUCCUUAUGCAGCUCUAUAAGUUGAACCUAAGUGCAAUUUAUCUUGAUACCACUUAUUCUCAAUUUUUAAAUUAUGUUUAGCAAAAUCUACAACCAUUUUCCAAAUUUAAUUCAAAACACGUUGAUUUUUUACGAAUUGUCCCAAUCCAAAAAUGGUUAGAAUAAACACUGCACAGAGCAAGCCCCUAGUUAUAGCACAUUUUAAAGUUUUUUAUCAGAAUAACUGGCUUAAUUAUACCCCCACAAACGAAGUUUAGGGGGGUAUAUAGGAGUGAACUUGUCUGUCGGUCAGUCGGUCUGUCUGUCGGUCCGUAUAAAGUGUCCGCUCUCUAAUUCAAGUAGUUUUCAUCCGAUCUUCACCAAACUUGGUUAGAAGUUGUAUCUACAUGAUGUCUAGGCCAAGUUCGAACAUGGGCCUUGCCGGGUCAAAAACUAGGUCACGGGGUUACUUAGUGCGUUUUAAACAUUCAGCAUGUUGUCCGCUCUCUAAUUCAAGUAGUUUUCAUCCGAUCUUCACCAAACUUGGUCAGAAGAUGCAUCUAGAUGAUCUUAAGGCCAAGUUCGAACAUGGGCCUACGGGUCACUUAGUGCGUUUUUUUAACAUUCAGCAUGGUGUUCUCUUUCCUAUUCAAGAAGUUUUCAUCCGAUCUUCACCAAACUUGGUCAGACGUUUUAUCUAGAUGAUCUAAAGGCCAUGGUUGAACAAGGGCCAUGCCAGAUCAAAAACUAGGUCACGGGGUCACAUAGUGCGUUUUUUAACAUUCAGCAUGGUGUCCUCUCUCUUAUUCAAGUAGUUUUCAUCCGAUCUUCACCAAACUUGGUCAGAGGUUUUAUCUAGAUGAUCUGAAGGCCAAGUUCGAUUAUGGGCCAUGCCAGAUCAAAAAAUAGGUCGCAGGGUCACUUAGUACGUUUUACACAUUGAGCAUGGUGUCCGCUCUCUAUUUCAAGUAGUUUAAAUCCGAUCUUCACCACACUUGGUCAGAAGUUGUAACUAGAUGAUGUGUAGGUCAAGUUCGAACAUGGGCCAUGCCGGGUCAAAAACUAGAUCACAGGGUCACUUUGUGUGUUUUAAACCUCACCAUGUUGUCCGCUCUCUAAGUCAAGUAGUUUUUAUCCAAUCUUCACCAAAAUUGGUCAGAAGUUGUAUAAGUCGAUGACAAAUCGACUUCUUGCACUAAUACUACAACUCGCUUAAGAAAUUCAGCACGAAGACAUCUUGGGUCAGACUACCAAGCCUCCUAUCAAUAUAUCCUCCCAUGUUGGGUACAUCAACACUUCCAACAGCAGAGCCUUGGUGAGUUCGACUUCCAUCUCAGCAUCAAUGUCGCUUAGCAACAAUUGGAUGAUGGGCGUCGACAAAUUAGGCCGGAUAAGUCGCUCGAACUGAAACGAUCUGAUCCAACAGGUAGAGCAGGCGUUGAGUGAUACAUCCGUUAAUGUGACUGACCUCGAUAUGUUGUUCUCGAAUAAUGUUAACCUUAGGCCUGGAGAGCAGUAUGCAUUUGACGCCAUUCAACAACAGUUAUUGUCUGCAGUUCUCGGGUUUGGGGUGGCAACUUUGGCGUAGGGACUCGCUCCAUCUCUGUCUAUGGCCCAGUCGCAGCAGCAGCAGCAGCAGCAACAAGAACAAUAAGUAGUAUCUUAGCGGUGUUCUGGGAUAUGGGGCUUCAUGUAUGUGCUUAAAUUGUCAUCCCAGAUUAGCCUGUGCAGACUGCUUCUACAUUAAGUCCUAUUAAAGUGUCAUCCCAGAUUAGCCUGUGCAGACUGCACAUAGAUUAAGUCCUUUUAAAGUGUCAUCCCAGAUUAGCCUGUGCAGACUGCACAUACAUUAAGUCCUAUUAAAGUGUCAUCCCAGAUUAGCCUGUGCAGACUGCACAUACAUUAAGUCCUUUUAAAUUGUCAUCCCAGAUUAGCCUGUGCAGACUGCACAUACAUACAGUCCUAUUAAAGUGUCAUCCUAGUUUGGCCUGUGCAGACUGCACAUACAUUAAGUCCUAUUAAAGUGUCAUCCCAGAUUAGCCUGUGCAGACUGCACAUACAUUAAGUCCUAUUAAAGUGUCAUCACAGAUAAGCCUGUGCAGACUGCACAUACAUUUAUUCGUUUAAAGUGUCAUCCCAGAUUAGCAUGUGCAGACUGCACAUAAAUGAAGUCCUUUUAAAGUGUCAUCCCAUAUUAGCCUGUGCAGACUGCACAUACAUUAAGUCCUAUUAAAGUGUCAUCCCAGAUUAGCCUGUGCAGACUGCACAUACAUUAAGUCCUAUUAAAGUGUCAUCCCAGAUAAGCCUGUGCAGACUGCACAUGCAUUAAGCCCUAUUAAAGUGUCAUCCCAGAUAAGCCUGUGCAGACUGCACAUACAUGAAAUCCUAUUAAAGUGUCAUCCCAGAUUAGCAUGUGCAGAUUGCACAUACAUUAAGCCCUAUUAAAGUGUCAUCCCAGAUUAGCCUGUGCAGAAUGCACAUACAUUAAGCCCUAUUUUCCCAGAAUGAGGCACAUAUAGUUCACUUAACAUCUGUCCUUUUAUGUGCCUGCUUAAGAAAAAGGUCCAAGCAUCAAAUGGUAAGUAGGUGUUUUUAAAAUUAAUCAACUUGAUAAAUAAAUAGCAAAUAGCAAUUGAUCAGGUUUAAACAUAGAAGGUCAAGUCAUAGUUUUGUCUACGUUUCGGCCGAAAUUCAGCCCUUGAACGAAGCGUUUAUCCUUGCAUAUAAAAUCCGCUGUAAAUACUUGUUAAAUUUUAUUUAAUUUUAGCAAAACAAUUAUUUAAACGACUUCAGCACAUUAUACAAUUAUUCCCUUCAAUAUUUAUGUAAGUUCCUGAAUUUUUUUUAAGAGCCGGUUCCUACAGGAUCCCAUGCAGUCAUAGAUCGGUACCCAGCUGAACAACAGGCUGUUUGGUAAGCUGGGCCCGGAUAGGUGCAGCCAGUCUAAAGCUGGGGCUCCAAACUUUCCUGCUAAGUGGGCUGAUAUUACCUCUUCUACAAGGGACAUAUGUCAGUGAUGCGCAAAGAGCUGGUUUUCUGUUCACAGAAAAAUAACCUAACAACUCCAACUCAGCCACUUCAUAUCAAUAGACAACCCGAAUAUCAAGGCGUUAAGUUUGUUCUGGAUGCAGUUACAGUCACAGCUUUCAAGCCAGCAGCUGUCAAUGUAUUGAGAUUCUCUCCUCUCCAUGUUACCUGACCUGCUGCCUGUGAACACCCUGCACAUAGAACAUUUAUCCCAAUCGAUGUAAUUAAACCGGCCAAUCAAAAGGACAACCUGGUACAGCACUUGUCAUAAGCUUGACGCCAUGCAUGCCUUUGAAGAUCAUUUAUACAUACAAUUUAAGCAUGAUAGUCAAUAAGUGCCUGCUUUGGCAUCUUAAAAGACUGGCAAUCCUGAGCAUUUACGAUGGAAUUCCUCAUCUUGAAAUAUUGGGAAGGAAGGAAAAUACCUGUCACUGUUAAGACAAAAAUGAGGGAAUGACAAAGCACAAUAAGACCAGCCAAGUCCUGUGAUCAGCCAAGUCCUGUGGCCAGACACGUCUUGUGGCCAGUCCAGUCCUGUGAUCAGACAAGUCCUUUGAUCAGCCAGGUCUUGUGGCCAGCCAAGUCAUGUGAUCAGACAAGUCCUGUGAUCAGCCAGGUCUUGUGAUUAGUCAAGUCCUGUUACAAGCCAAGUCCUGUGACCAGCCAAGUCUUGUGACCAGCCAAGUCUUUAGAUCAGCCAAGCCCUGUAAUCAGACAAGUCUUUGAUUAGUCAAGUCCUGCGGCUAGCGAAGUCUUGUGGUCAGCCAAGUCAUGUGAUCAGCAAAGUCUUAUGAUCAGUCAAGUCUUGUGGCCAGCCAAGUCAAGUCAUCAUCCAAGUCAUGCAAUCAGCCAAGUUAUAUGACCAUCCAAGUUCUGCUCCCAGCCAAGUCCUGUGAUCAUCCAAAUUUUUGUGAUCAGUCAAGUCCAAGCAAAGUUGUAUGAUCAGCCAGGUCCUGUGACCAGCCAAGUCCUGUUACCAGCCAAGUCCUGUGACCAGCCAAGUCCUGUUACCAGCCAAGUCCUGUGACCAGCGAAGUCAAGUGACCAGUCAAGUUUUAGGAUCAGCUUAGUUCUUUGGCCAGCCAAGUCAUGUGACCAGCCAAGUGUUUUUACCAGCCAUGUCCUAUGACCAGCAACUUUGUCUCGUGUGUACAGUCUGAUUGUAUGGGAAGAAAAAUCUUCAUUUCAUAUUGUAUGGGUAUAAUAAUACUGACAGUAUCUUGAUGAUUAAGUAUUUUGUUAUAUAUUGGUAAAUAGACCAAUAUGAUAAGGGGAAACUCAGUAAUAGCAGUAAUUUAAAGUUUUAUUUCAAGAGCUAAAUAAUGCAAGUACUACUAUUUUGUCUGUAUUCAGAAACUGACUAUAUAGCUUUAUCCUGAUUAUCGUAAACAGACAGACAAAAAUAUGUUACAAUUGGUUUUUUUUAAACAUUGAUUUUAAGCCUUCACAAAGUUGUUUAAAUAAUGCUGAUACCUUGGACAAUAUUUAACUUAUUUAUUGUAUAAACAAGACAUGCUUAUUUUUAGUUUUUACCUAUAAAAUAGCAAUAUGUGCUAGGUAAAAUAAUUGAUCAGAACGAUUCAUAAUUGUGAUGCUUCUAUUUUGAUCUCUCUGUCAUUCUGUCCGUGUACAUUUAUCAUCAGUUUGCUCUUUUUAGGCAGUAUUUUAUCAAGAAUUUCAUGUAGUGAUGUAAUAGUAAAAUAUCAAAUAAUAAUUUGAUUUAUUCAAACUAUAUUAACCUUCUGUUAAUUAUCAAUUUAUUUAUUGACAACAGAUACUUUGUUUAAUAUUAACAAUAGUUAAGCGCGUUAUAAAAAUUGUGUGAAUGUACAUGCAUAAUAUUUCGAUCAUUAAUGCACACAUUAAUGGAAAAACUAUUUAAAUAAAGUAAAACUUAGAAGUGCAUCUUAACUGUAAUGGAGUUUGUUUAAUUAUUUAAAAAGUAUGCUUUCAUUGUUGAAAAUAUGAUAGUAAUUCCUCCACAAGUAAUUUUGUUUCAAAGUGAGUAUUUUCAUGAAUAAUGAUCCUAGAUAUGGUUGUAGAUUGUUCUUGUUGUAUCAUAUACUGACAUGCUCAUUAUUUGUGUUGACAUUUGCAUUCUAGCUCUAAAAGUACAUUAUGCUUUAGAUAUGUGUAUGUACACAUUUGCGACCAGCUUUUCUAAUGUAAUAAGUGAAUAACGUUACACAGAUUUAUGUGUCUCUGUAUAUAAGUUUAUUUUGUCAUUUGUAAAUAGAUCAACUGCAAAGCUAAUGUUUUUGUUUGUACAGUAUUCAUAAAAUAUUGCCAUUUCAAACAGAUACAUUCACUGUUUGAAUUCAUUUGUACAAAAUUGUUUCAUAUUAAACAUCAUUUACAUAUCAGGCAAUAGAGAAAAAGAAUUGCUUUGGAUGAAUGAGCACAUUAACCUGUAUAGUAAAUUAAGAUAUGCAGAAUAUCAGAUUAUUAACAUAAUAAUAUACUUUAAGGAUUAGAAACACCUUGUUGUAUGUCAAGCUUUUUAGUUAAUAUAAUUAAGCAACUGCUAUCUGGAAAUUUGGAAAACAGUGAAGAACGACUCAAGGGAGAGCAACUGUGUUAUACUAAAUAAAAGUCGUCUCCCUUGUUAGAGUAUAAUUGUACCUCUCAACGUAACAAGAACAUUGAAUCUUUUUUUUUAAUUAUUCGACACUAUAAACUAUAUACUAUAUUCAUUCCAUAAUCGCUAAAGAAAUAUGGUUUGCAUAAUUGUUUAUUUCUAUGCGUUAUACCAAAUUCACCAGUAUGGCAUCAAUUAAAAUUCAUCAUAUUUUAAUUGCCAAAAUUGGCCAUACAGUGCUAAAAAUUUGGUAUUUUGACUAUUAUAAGUGCAUGUUCUCAUACAAUAUCACAUAGUAUAUUUUAACACUGAGGCAAUAUGUGUUAAUAUAUUAAAAUUUAUUUAUUAACUUGUUGUUGCUUGUUAAGGUGUCUAAUUUUGAAUUAUAGCUGUAAAUUGAUUGUGACUAUUUUCCAGUUUUGAAUGAUUGCUUUUAGUUGAUUGUUUACAAGUUUUGUAAAAGCUGUUUUAAUGUUGACUGCUCCACAUUAAAUGUCGUUGACGCACAUUCACUGCGGCCAGGUUCCGUAAAACUCCCAUCUCAUCUGAUGUCUUAUGAUUGGAUUCCAUACAUAGUGGUUGUUUAUACUCAGCUUGCUUUGCAUUAAACAUGUCUGCUUUGUUGUUGAACAAUUAUACACAGCUUUUUAUUAGACAAAAUUGUGUAAUAUUUCAAAUUUUUGAUAUCAAUUUUUUAUUUCGAACAAAAAUAUAUUUUGUUUAUUUGUAUGUAUAUUUAGCUAUAAUAAAAUUGUUUCUAUAAUAUAUAAACAACAUAUUUUUAAGCAAUAAACUAUAUUGGUAAAAGUAGAUUUAAGGUUCAAAAUCAUGUCUUAAUUUGUUCGAUUAUCCCAAAUUAACAUUUUGCAAAAGCAAAACUUGUUGAAUAAAGAAAACUUUAUGCAACGUACCACCAGGUCUUUUAACCAUUGAUUGUGUAUCACUAACGAUCAGGACUUUAUCAGGGAUUAAUAAUUGCCUUUGCAUGGCUAUAAUGUUUGUGUUAUUGAAUUGAAUAAUUUCUGUAGUUUGGUGCACAUUAAUUGUUGUUUUUUUUUAAGACAUAGCACAUGUCAUUUAAUAUAGUAUCAUUGUAGUUUUGGUAUGUUUAGGGAUAUAAUCAUGUUAAUGUAUGUGAUUUGCUGAUCCAUUUCUUGUUGUUUCACUCCAUUUAAUGUAUAUAGCCAUGCAUAGAGCAGGAAUCUUGUUGUACUGUGAAACAAAUGUUGUUAUAGUAAAUAAAAAAUGUAUGUUAA
Molecule: long non-coding RNA, 9852 nt
Organism: Dreissena polymorpha
Lineage: Eukaryota; Metazoa; Mollusca; Bivalvia; Myida; Dreissenidae
Exons: 4
Source: RefSeq, a predicted model, not a curated record